This is a long non-coding RNA of Tachysurus vachellii, 569 nucleotides long. RefSeq lists it as uncharacterized. The transcript is spliced from 3 exons. The record is from RefSeq and is a predicted model, not a curated record. NCBI's taxonomy places the organism in Eukaryota, Metazoa, Chordata, Actinopteri, Siluriformes, Bagridae.
CCCAGUUUACUAGCCUAAGCCACACCCCUAGCUUAAGACACACCCACAUAGAGUUAACAGAACAUAUAUACAGAUCAAAUUCCCCAAACCAGCUGAUAGUCCUCUGAGGAAGCAAGACAAUUGCGAAACGUUAGGAUACUUUUUAAAGGAAUCUCCUUACAGUAACUUCUGUUCUGCCUGAUGAUCAUCACCAUGAUUUUAAGAAGAAAGUUUUUUGAAUAAAGAGAAGAUUUUAACCUGCACUAAGAGGAGGAAGCCACAACACGAAGAAGACCAAGGACACACCAAGCUAACCAAAACAAAGUGGAAGAAAAGAACGGCAGGAGGAAGAAGGAGUUGGUUUUGUAUUUCACCGACCUCAAAAGGAAACCACCAUAAACCCUCUUCAAGCCCAUCCCACGGAAUUGAGGUUAGCUUGAGGGACUUUUUCUUGCAAAAACCCACCAGAACCGGCCCCCAAAAAGGACAACGGCCCCGUCAAGGAGGAACGGUAAUUGGGUUGGGGGGAGAGACGGCUGCUGGAGAAAGGUCUAACGUUUGUUCCAACGACAGAUGACAUCAACUCUAAC